Non-coding RNA from Ornithorhynchus anatinus (platypus), 137 nucleotides. NCBI's taxonomy places the organism in Eukaryota, Metazoa, Chordata, Mammalia, Monotremata, Ornithorhynchidae. The record is from Rfam.
CCCCUCUCAGGGUCUCACCUGGAGAGUUUCCAGUCCUCUACCGGUCUCGACUACGGGAGGGAGAGUCCAGCAGAGGCCUACCAUUCCAUUCCUAGCUUGGCCAGUGGCUAGCGAGUGGAAGGCAAUCUGCUACAAGU